Molecule: long non-coding RNA, 6376 nt
Organism: Equus caballus (horse)
Lineage: Eukaryota; Metazoa; Chordata; Mammalia; Perissodactyla; Equidae
Source: RefSeq, a predicted model, not a curated record
AUUUACUGGGGCUUUGGUGGUGGGGAGAACGAAGAAAAAAGGAGGAAGACUGGCAACAGAUGUUACCUUAGGGUGAAUCUUCCCCUGCAAAAAACUAACAAAGGAAAAAACAUAUACAGUGAUUUCCUUACCAUGGAUAGAAAUUUCCUGGCUUAGCAUAUGGCAGGUUCUUAAUAAAUAUUUAUUGACUGAUCUAUUGAAUGGAGUCAUAGAUGAAUGCUGUGCCCAGUUCUCCCUCUGCAAGUAGCAGGAGAGGCUCUUUUAGGAUACCAGCCAUUUCCUUCUCCCUUAGCCUCACCCAGCAGAGCUGAGAUGUCACCAACUUGGGGCCAAGGAUGCCCAAAAGGAGAUAGGGUGGGCCAUCCUCGUGUCUGUCACUUGUUCUUUUCCAGGAAGAUGCAGCUGGUUUCUGGCUGCCGUGGUGACAAACAGCAGGAGAUAGCUGAGAGCAUCUGUCAACAGGAGAGAACCCAGGGCAAGCCCUGCCCUAGACUGGGUACAAAGUAUGCCCUAACCCCAUCACUAUGGAGAGUCAGCACUGGCCAUCCUCAGUCCUUGAAGGCACAAGCCCCAACUUGGAAGAAACAGAAAACGUUUGCUGAGAUCUUAGAAUAGGUCCACGCCCUGAGAUCUGCAGCAGCAUAUCAUCGUUUGGACAUGUUGUUUCUCAGCUGUGUGAUUCCAAACAAACGUGUGUAACCUCUCAGCCUCAGCUGCAUUUUCUGUGAAAUGGGGACAAUAAGACCUGUUUUAGGGUUGUUGGGAAGAUGAAAUGAUAAAAUGCAUAGAAAAUAGCUGGCACAUAAGAGUUUCUCAAUAAAUCUUAAUUCCCUUUGUCUUAGGCUCUCCAUCUGAUAUCAUUUAAUUUCUUUUCUUUUUAAGUCAUAAUUCUUAAAACACCUCGUUUUCUAAUUUAUUUUCCAGGGUGAUUCCUAGAGGCAGAUACAGUGACCACAGUAUGAUAUUUUGAAAGCACAAAAGACAGAAAAACUCAAAAUCAAGCAAAGCAUUGUUCAGUUCUUCUAUCAGCCUCUAAGAAUGAUUGCCUCAAAUAACCUUACAUUCUAUUCUCACAGCUUGUUUAAGAAUCGAGAAAGCAUAUAUUUUAGAAACCUAGUCAAAUACACAAUGCCAUGGUACUUGAAGUGGUGAAUUUCAGCUUCACAGAAAAGUCAUCAAAUGAUGCCAGAAAAAUCUAGAAGUUUCCAAAUUAGUGUUGGCCUCCCAGAAAGUUCAAACCCAGGGAGCACAGACAUCAGCUAUGUGUCGGAGGACAGCUUUGAUGCUGCAUAACAAACAGCGUGAUUUCACUCACACGCUGAAACCAUUUUCUCGAAAUCGAACUCUUAUUACUAAGUUAAUAGAAAAAAACUCCAAUUGAACUUUGGAGGAUUUUUUUCUAUUAUGGGAACAUUACAGAGUUCAAUUUGGUCAAAAAUGAGCACUGAAGGCUUUCAACAAUUUUCUAAUGGAGCUUAAAUUCACUUCUAAGAAUAGUCAUUAUGUGAUUGGCAAGGAAGGAGUACUUAAUUCCUGGAAAUGCGCUGAUGGAGAAACGACACCUUCCCUGGCAUCGGGGCCUGGAGCAGCAGGGCUGUGGUGGCCUAGAUAUCAGAACGAUUCCCCCGUGGACGCAGGAGUGGCACACGCUCUGUUGAAUCCACAUAUUGGGCACGCAGUGAACAUUUUCCCAAACAUCCUAAAUUUCCUUCCUAGGACGUGAGUUUAAGCUUGUAACUGGCCUGUUCACGGGAUUUGAAGGACCAUCUGAGUGUUCAUAUUCUGACAUCAAGGAAUGGGACUCCAUUCAAGGAUGUGGGUGAACCAAGGAAGAAAGAGCUUAUUAGCUUUGACAUUGGAGCCCAGGAGACAUAGACUACACAGCCCAGGCCUAUGGGCUGGGAAAUGUUGCCCUCUACUCAGAAGGUCAUGGGCUCUGCUCUCGUGAGCUGCCCCUCGUCCCUGCUCUGCCUCUACAUGCAUCCUAUGCUACUACAGCAAUGAGUAUUUUUAUGCAGUAAUAUAUGCGGCUCAAGUGAGUGCUGCUGUUACUUGCAGCUCCUUGAAAGUGCCAGCUCCUCACUAACUCUCUGUACAUUUCCACUUUCCAACAUUUGGGCUUGGAAAACACUUCCCCACAGUGCUACGUGGUCCUCUCUGGACUUAAUGCCUAAGACUCAGCACAAGCAGAGGUGGAAGUGAACAAAUACUGGAUGAGAGACCCAGGGGCACACGGUUUGUUCCCCCAAGUGUCUUCUGACCUAGUGAGGGAGAUGAGAAGCACUCCCACGGCGGAGACAAUUUUAUUUUCCACGUGGAUAUACAGCAACCUUGGAGGCCACAUGAAGAGGGCAGUCUCACAGGAUGGAAGAAGCCUGGGUCCUUCGAUGAUGUCGUGGAGCAGAGCCAUCCUUUCCCCUCCCACUGCCACCAUCAGCAAUUGGAUUGUGAUAUGAGUGAGCAAUAAAUUUCCUUGUUAAGCUAUUGAGUUUGUGGGGGGCAGGGGGAGGGGUCGUCUAUCACAGAAGCUAGUAUUACUUAUUCUUCCUAGGACUCUCACUGACAAUUACAACAUAAUUGUGUGUGUGAUGAAAGUUAUGCUAACUUAUGCAAGGAGGGGGCAGCCCCAUUUGGGGAUGGGAGUGGGUGAUGAAGGAAGGCUUCUGGGAUGAGGCUAUGUUUGGACUGAUUCUUGAAGGAUUACAAUAAUAGCUAAUAUGCAUUUGGUUCUUACUACAUUCCAGAUGCUGUGCUAAGAGCUUUGCCAGAUUAGCCUAUUUAAUCCUCCCAAUGACUCUCAGUAUUAUUGCCUUUUACAUCUGGAGAGAAUGAGGCCAGGAGAGGUUAAGUAACUUGCCCAUAGUCCCACAACUCUCAGUGGCAGAGCUGGAUAUCAAAUUCAGCAUGUUUAAGCACUACUCUGUACUGCCAGUAUGUGAGAAGGGUUUAGCCAACAUGGCAGUUACUUGGAGGGAGAAGAGAUGAGAUGCAAAAUACUUAGCAUCGCAUACAGGAGGGGAGCUGACCGUGGUGCUGAAGUGAAGGCCGCAUACUGGAGAGCUCUAGAGGGUCCUGAAGGACAGGCCAGGGUGGGUGAGGAGUGACACUCAGGGCAGACGUCCUAGCGGAGAGGCAUAGGAGAAUGUGAUAUAUUUGGGGAACCAUCAGUUGUUUGUGAACCCAUGCAGGGGCCUGAACAUUCUAGUUUUAGUUUAAACACAUGUACCCUCAAAGGCCUGUUGUCAAGUUUGUGGGGAGAGCAGCCGUGCACAGGGCUUGGCCUGUACUUGGAUAUGGCCUCUAUGACUGGCACAGAGGAUGCUCUCCCCGGAUACGUGUUGACUGAACAAACUCAUAAAUGAAACAUGCAGAUACGUCAUUUAGAAAAUAAAUGAAUCAGAAGCACAUACCCCAUUGCCCCAUUUGGCUACCUCCUUGCCUUUUCUGUUCCUAGACAUCCUGACACCCAGUGCCUCAUCUUUUCAGUGACUGAGGCUUUCUAUUCUGGUUCAGUAACUGCAGCCAUCACAGAAUUAAGUAAUGACAAAGUGGGUUAUUAUCCAGCCUGGCUUCAGCUGGGGAUGGAACCUGCAGCCGAGAUACCUCACUGUUGGGGUGCUCACAUGACUGUCUAGGCAGUGACAUGAAAAAUGUCCCCCAUAAUUCCUUAGCUCAGAGCCAUACAUCCUCAGAGUCUUGACUCCACACUUCGUGGGGAAUAAUGUUGUUUUGUUGAGAAGGGGAAGAGGGUGUAAUUAGAUUCCUCUUAAAUGUUACAUUCAUCCUUGUUAAUCAAAAAUUAGUAGCUCUUAAAAAAAAUAAACACAACUCAGCUCCCCAGGAAGCUGAUAGCAGUUCCCAGGGCCUGUUUAAUUACACAGAAUGAAACAAAAUGUGUACUUGUGUCUCUCAACUGUGGAAAUAACAAAAUGAAAUAUAAAGGUGGCCAUAUCUGGGUGGUGGGGAUUAGAGGUGAUUUUUAAUUUGCUUCUUUGUUCUGCUCUGUGUCUGUGAAUUUUUCUACAAUGAGCAUAUAUUGCUCAUUAAAAAAGCAUUUAAAGGAUUAAAAAAAGGGAAAUAUGAGAUUACAUUCUAAAAACCUGUAAACAAAAGAAAUAGGUGAAUACUUUUCCUAACCCCACUGCUCUCAUUCCACUCCCCAGAAGUAAGUGCUGUAGUUGGCUGGAUGCCUGCCCUUUCAGACAACUUCUGAGGCGUUUUCUAUUUUCUUCAUAACACUCACUAUAUCUGGAACCAUCCUCUUGUUUGUUUACUCAUGUAUUCCCUGACCAUUCCCCAAGAGGAAGGCCUUGUUUGCCUAAUUCCCACUACGUCUCCAACCACAGCACCUGGCGCACAGUAGGUGCUUAUUAAACAGUUGCUGAACCAACUAAAGGAUGAAAGGAUAUGUAUGGGGAGGAGAUGUGCUAUUAAGACCAACAGGGUCUUCCAAAGAGAGUGGGCCCCUCUUGGUCUUCUGACAUGUUUCCAUCUAUUAGAGGUGAGCUUGAAGGUCAUUGGGGGCAGGGGCUGGACAGACGUGAAUUGUUCUGCAGGAGGUCUUUGGUUUUGCUCUCAAGAGAGAACAGCGACACAGGCAAUAACAUGGAUGAACUCCCAAAUAAUUGUGCUGAGUGAAAGAAGCCAGAAAAAAGAGUAUGUACUCUAUGAUAUUCAAUUUAUAUGAAACUCUAGAAAAUGCACACGUAUCUAGAGUGACAGGAAGCAGAUCCGUGGUUACCCAGGGAUGGAUGGGGUGCGGGGGGGGGGGCAGGAAGGAGGACUACAAAGGGGCACUUUUGGGGGUGCUGGGUAUGUGCACUAUCUUGAUUAGGGUGAUAGUUUCAUGGGUGUGUACAUUAUGCCAGAACUUGUCAAAUUAUACACUUUAAAUACAUGUAGUUUAUUGUACGUCAAUCACAUCUCUAUAAAGCUGUUACAAAAAGAGAAUGGGGGGACUGCGAGGGGGAAAUUGGAAGAUAAGAAGAGUCCCAUAUAUGCUGACAUUGAGAUACUUUUGGGGGAUGAUGUGUCCUGUGAAAAAUACAGAGUGCUGGGACAGUGAGAAGAAUUUGCUGUUGAGGGCUAUCUGGGAGCUCAGAUUGGAGUAAUGUGCUGUGAUGUACCUGCUUCCUCCUCUCGCCUCCAAGCAUCCUCAAUAAAGUGGAUCACAUGUACCAAAUUCUGAUGAUGACAGUGAUUACGUGUGUGUAUGUGUGUGUGUGUGUGCGUGUGCCUGUGUGUGUGCAGAGGGAGAGGAAAAGGGCAAUGUGAUGUGUAAUGACUGGCAUGUACAGGAUAGUGAGACAAUUAAGAAACAGAAGUAACUUAUCAGCAGUGGAAACCUGGAGCCAGAAGCGACAGCGAGAAAUGACAGGGUCUCCUUCAACCCUCUGGAAAUUGCAUAAAUCUUGGGGAAGACUUUGGUCUUCUCUAAGGCAUGGAAUCAGGAUUUAUCACGAGUUUAUUUAGGUCUCAAGCACAGGCAGAUUCCACUUGACAUGUGGAUGUUGCCCCUACACUCAGUGGCUAUUUGUUGAAUGAAUAUAGGAGUAUUAUUUUGAUUUGUUCUACAACUACUGCUAUUUUGAGUACUGUCAACAAGAGGUAGGAUGAUGAUGGAUGGGUCAUCACUGGGGCUUAGAUCACCUUUCAUCUGAUUGGCAUGUUUCACAACACCUGUGUUUUGGGGUCUGUGUCUUACAAGUCAUGCAUUUUGCAAAUGUUGGCUGAUGGCUUGCAGUGGGGCAGGCACUGUACCAGAUGUUGAGAUGGAAACAGUAAAAGAGAUUCAAGCCUUCCUCAAAGAGCUCGCAGUGCAGAGUAGAAUACAGACGAAUAAAGACACCAUGAUACAGGAAGGGCCGUACUGCAGGGGUCAGCAAAGUAUGGCCCAAAGGCCAAAUCUGGCCCCCUCCCUGCUUGUGUAAAUAAAGUUUUAUUGGCAAACAGCCAUGCCUAUUCAUUGAUAUUAUGGCUCUCACGUUUCAACGGCAGAGCUGAGUAGUUGAGACAGAGACCACGUGGCCCGCAAAGCUGACAUUAUUUAUCAUCCGACGCAAUGAGGGCCCUGCUAGGGGUUUGCUGACUCCUGCUCUACUAGAAGACUAUUCAGAGCAAGAAGCUGGCACCGAAGCAACAAGUUCAGGAGUUACUGACCCUGUUUGGUAUCAAAUCCAGCUCUCGGCGUUCCACCCUAGUGGGCUCGGUUAGGUGUAAGAGUCUUCCUCGUGCUGCCUUUGUGGGUCAGUGAGAAGCAGAAUGGACCUCUAAGGGUAGCCCCUCUUUCCCAGCAGGAAGCACAAUACAGAUGCUCCUGGCCCUUCAUCAGCUUUCUAAGGCAGCAACAUCCUGAGCACCGGGUGGCAUCGUCUCC